UACGUAGGGUGCGAGCGUUAAUCGGAAUUACUGGGCGUAAAGCGUGCGCAGGCGGUUUUCCAAGACAGAUGUGAAAUCCCCCGGGCUCAACCUGGGAAUGGCAUUUGUGACUGGAAGGCUAGAGUGUGUCAGAGGGGGGGUAGAAUUCCACGUGUAGCAGUGAAAUGCGUAGAGAUGUGGAGGAAUACCGAUGGCGAAGGCAGCCCCCUGGGAUAACACUGACGCUCAUGCACGAAAGCGUGGGGAGCAAACAGG
RNAcentral lists this ribosomal RNA (255 nucleotides) under uncultured bacterium. Its description in RNAcentral is "partial 16S ribosomal RNA". It matches the Rfam family "Bacterial small subunit ribosomal RNA", at positions 524 to 776 of the family's 1533-position model. The record is from RNAcentral.